RNAcentral lists this small RNA (2082 nucleotides) under Pan troglodytes (chimpanzee). RNAcentral describes it as "processed transcript". The record is from RNAcentral. Lineage: Eukaryota; Metazoa; Chordata; Mammalia; Primates; Hominidae.
GUGAGGCCAGGCAGAAAUGGCUUGGCAGAGGACCCAGCGAGCCCAGAGGGAUUUUGCCGCUGCUUCCUCUACCCCUGUAUUUCACUCAGCUCUCUAAAUUGACUCAGCUCCAGGCUAGUGUGAGAAACACCAACGGCAGGCCCAUCUCAGAUCUUCACUAUGGCAACUUAUGCAAGAAACUGUUGAAUUAGACCCGUUUCCUAUAGAUGAGAAACCAUACAAGCUGUGGUAUUUAUGAGCCUCCAUUUCUUAUACUACUGCAGUGAACCAACAUUGGAUGUGAAAAUUGCCUUUUGUCAGGGAUUCGAUAAACAAGUGGAUGUGUCAUAUAUUGCCAAACAUUACAACAUGAGCAAAAGCAAAGUUGACAACCAGUUCUACAGUGUGGAAGUGGGAGACUCAACCUUCACAGUUCUCAAGCGCUACCAGAAUCUAAAGCCUAUUGGCUCUGGGGCUCAGGGCAUAGUUUGGUCUCAAGAAAGCACCAACCUGUGAGCCAAAGGAGCCAUCUUAAUGUCUUUAGGUCAUUAAUUUUAGACAUAGCAUAUUCUUUACUACAAGGCUACUUUGAGAGUCACUGUGUCACUGUUGGGCUUCUGGCAUAAAUAAAGUUAACAUAAUAUACUCAAUAAACUCUUUCACUGCUUAGCUAACUCCAACAUCAUCCAGACACUGAUGCUCAUCCAAGUUGCCAUGUAGAUUUAUAAGAAGACUCUUGUUAAGAUAAAAUAACUAAACAUAAAUAAUACUUUAAAUUUUGUUGCCAUGAAAUGGCCAAAGGUAGGAAUGUAGCAGUAACCCCGGAAGAGCAGUCCUUGGUUCUGACUCUUUUUCUUGGGGGAGUGACAUGUAAAAGCCUCUUCAACCAGAAGCACAGUGCCCUUGAGCAGCAAGGGAGCAUAUCACUUAUAUCUAAAAGGGAAUAUUUUGUCAAUGAAAGUACAUGCUAAAAUAUAUUAUAUUGAUGGUCGUAAAAAUAAUGUUAUUAGAAAUUGUUUUAAACAAACAUUUUUGAAAAUGAAAAUAAAAAUACAGUUAAUAUUUUAUAACUUAUAUGAAUUGCCUAAUUUUUUUAAUGAGAAGAAUAAUUACUGUGGUACAUCUCAUGUAUAUUAAUCUGCUGAAAUUUCUGAUAUUUUUUUGAAGUCAACUUUUUAAUAUGAAUUUAUUAUUCUUAAGUUGUAAUGAAACUUCUGGGAAUCUUCAAAAUUGCUUGUUAUGGUUAAUAAAUUUGAAAUAUUGACACAUUUAAUAUAUAUAACAAUAUUUUUAUUUGAAAAAUAUUCUCAAAAGGGGCUUAGGUAUCUGCUAAGAACAAAUUUUGCUAAAUUGAAAAUAUUCUCUUUAUUAAUUGAAAAUAUUCUUAAUUCUAAUGUAUUUUUGUAUUGUAAUGUAAAAGUAUUUGAGUCCAAGGUUUUUCACAGACACUGAGCUUUCCCCCCUUCAUUUAGUGUUCCAUUAUCCAAGAAAUAAUUUCAUAAUACCACACUUGCCAAAUAGAUUGCCUAAAUUUAUGGCUUUUUUAAUGGUUUGCCAAAUUUAGAUGCAGAAAAAUUAUAGGCCUUUAAAAUCAUAUUUCAAUCCUGCACAGAAUAUAAAUAUUUGGAAAUUAGAAAUUACACCAGGUGCCAUAAAGAAUAUAAAUAGAUCAUACAAUUCAGAACUUUAUCUAAAGACUGUUCUCACAAAUUAAGAUAUUCUAAAGUAUGAUUAUGGAAUUUCAAAAUCAAAUCUUAUCCUCUCUUUGAGAAUGCAUUAUUUCAUUUGAUUUGUUCAGUUAAUUUCUUGCUUUAGUCCAUUUCAGCACAUUCUUGUGGGCUUCAAGUUGCAAGUUUUGUUUAUAAUAAUAGCUAUUCCUUAAAAGUUUCAAGAGCUGAAUACUGGGAUGCUCCAUUUGUGAAAUACUAUGAUUACACAUUUCCAAGUAAUUUUGCAAAAAAAAAGCACCCAAAGUUUAGAGGACUUAUGUAUAAAAAGUUAUUUUUCAAUAGUAAGUAUGAGAAAUGCCAAGAAAAUAUGCCGAUUGCUAUGUUAAAGUAUUUUCAUUUUUUUAAUUCAAUAUCAGCUUUGUCUCCAAAAUUU